CUUUGGGUCACGUCGCUCAUCUGGCCCCUUGGCACCCGAGUCGGUACAGGAGUCGGGGGUGUUGCACGAACGUGCCGAAAGGCGGGCAGUUUACUCCCUUCUGGAGAUCGAGAUGGACACUGUCUCCUCCUCCACCAGGUCACAGACCCUGGUUCACCCACGUCCACCCUUCGCCAUGUGACUGGGAUGCUGGAACGCGGCGAGCGGCGUCAGAUCCCGUGCGCGGGGGCUGAGAGGCCCUGGGGCGGAGCAUGGGCGGGAAAUCUGUUGAGAGGAUCAAGUUCGAGGCAAGGGCACAGGCCCAAAAAAGACGCCCAUUUGAAGCCCAGAGAGCUUCUCUGACACAGACGAGUGGGGAGUGUGGUCAGACGUGGCCACGUGGGUGACGGGGCUUCUCUGACGCCGACCUCAUACGCAGCUGCUCACCCUGCACCCUGCGUUUCCAGGGAUAAAACCCUAGAUUGCAGCUUACCGCUUGAGUGACGGUGGUGACCUCUUUAUUCCUCCUCCAGGGCCCCAGGGCUUGCUUUUAGGGGCCACAUGAUGUGGUCAGAACGCUUUCCCUGUCCCCCUUCAUCAGCGCUUCCCGCUCCAGGCCACCGACGCGCCUCCUGGAAUGGUCAGUGGCAUUGAUGGCACAAUUUUCUUGCCUCCCACAACGUUAAGUCCGAGUUUUUCUUUAUUUUUUUCUUUUUUAAUGUUUAUUUAUUCUUGAGAGAGAGAGACAGAGUGUGAGCAGGGGAGGGGCGGAGAGAGGGAGGGAGACACAGAAUCAGAAGCAGGCCUCCAGGUUCCGAGCCGUCAGCACAGAGCCCGAUGCGGGGCUCGAAUUCAUUAAUUGCAAGAUCUUGACCUGAGCCGAAGUCAGUCGCUCAGCGGACUGAGUCACCCGGGCGGCCCCGUGUUUUUCUAAAGGAAUAUUUCCUGUCUCCGCUGAGGCUAUGAUGAUUUGCAGCACUGAAAAGAAACUGGUAACUAAACAUUCUGCUUUCAGUUUUCUUCUAGAAGUCUCUCCAGGUGAGCCGCAUAAGUAUAGGAGGAGGUGGGGCGGGGAGGGGUCUAAAGUGCUCUUCUGUGUUCUGAGGUCAGUAGCGAGUUGAAAUAGACCCAUUAGAUCUUGGGGAAGAGGUCAAUAUUCCGAGGACAUCUACUGAAAGCGGUCUCGGGAGCGCUCAGAGGGAAGGGCUGAUUAAAUUCAUUUAAACAAAUGCCAUCUGUUAUUGAGCCUGCGUGUGCCCGCCAGGUCCUGCGGGAGCCACACAGGACUAAAUGGCCCUGCCUACCGGGCACAUAUAGAUUUCCCAGGGAGCCUGCCCCUCCAUGUUGGAGUGGCUCCGCGCUGGGCGGUCACCGGGCAGGGGCGCUCACCAGGGGAGCCCUUCGAUCCUCUGUCCUAGGAAAAGUUUUACAGCGUUUUGUUCUGAGUUAACCUUAGGCCAGGAAAUUAACACUGACGCGGUACAGUUAAUCAGCCACAGAUCUUACUCAGAGUUUGCAGAUUAGCCCACAGAUGUCCUUUUUCUGGUCCAGGAUCCUGCAUUUAACUCUCAUGCCCCCUUGGUUUCCUCCAGUCUGCAUCUCGAGGAAGUUUUAGCUCCUAGGUUUGGGGGAUUCCCUUUCUCAACAGCUUUACAAAUGCAGGUCCCCCUUCGGGGACCUCUGCUCCGGAGUAUAAUACCGAUACUGAUAAUAAUACUGUUUCUAGUAAUUCCUAGUAAUGGUGAAUGUCUCUUAGGUGCUUCGUGUACCAGACGCCGUUCAUCAUGUUACAUUUCGCAUCAUGUGAACCUCACAACGAGCCUGUGAGUUGGGUUCCGUUACCGUCCAAAUCUUUCAGCAGAGGAAGCGGGCACAGAGAACUUAGGCGACAGAGCAGCUGAGCAGCGGAGCCGGGAUUCAAACCCGCGCAGGCGGGCUCCAGAAGCCCCGCGGGUCUGGAACCGCCGUGGUCGUACUUCCUCCGGGGGCCGAUGGUGGUUCUGUGAUUGCAGACCGCGGGGCGCUGCGACACGACGGACGAGAUCCGGGACACAGGUGGUCAGAGCAGGGCUGUUACAGAGUUCUGUCCACAGAGGAGGAAGUCCUGUCCCCGGCCAGAGAAACUUCCCGGAGCAGGUGGCAAGUCAGCUCAUCCAAUACUCACAACCCCAGGUGAUGUCUGCCGGGAAGUAGGGACCUCCCAGGAGACAGCUUCCUUGUUCCCCCCAGGCUGAGUGCAGACGAGGCUGUGAGGCCAGAAGGGCAGGCCUGAGCAGGGCACGUGAGGGGCCUCCAGUGCCGAGCCAAGGAUCGCGGUCUGCUCCCUGCGGGGAGGGGGAGAUCUGAGGCAGGGGAUUUCGCAAAGAUGGAGCUCCGGGCUGAAGAGUGAAACGACGUGUUCCUGAGCGGUGGGCACACGAGGUAGAGAGGAUUUCACUCUCGCAGCCGUAGCUGCCUCGCUGCCAGCAGGAAGCCGUAGGCAGAUCCAAGACGGCCGGUGGGUGAAGUGCAUCGAAAUGCAUCCGUCCCAAAAUUCUACAAGUCUGUUACCAAGUGACAGUGUUUACUGCCGUGCAACAAAAGUUUGUUUCAAAUGACCUUGAAGGAAGUUGGACCGCCUCCCGUGUCAGCCACGAACAGAUGGAAAUGUGUGCGCAGACGGCAAGAGAAGAAUUUAUUUUGAAAGCUCUUGAAAAAUCAUGUCUCCUACCAGUGUCAGAACACGUAUCAAUGUAAGAAUACACUCUUCUGGCAUAAACAA
This is a long non-coding RNA of Panthera uncia (snow leopard), 2740 nucleotides long. RefSeq lists it as uncharacterized. The transcript is spliced from 3 exons. The record is from RefSeq and is a predicted model, not a curated record. NCBI's taxonomy places the organism in Eukaryota, Metazoa, Chordata, Mammalia, Carnivora, Felidae.